AAGCAAUCCCAGUGCUCUAGUCACUUCACGCAUUUACCGCAUCUACACGCGCAGCUCAUCUUCUUGAACAAUCCAUCUCCCCACCCACCCACCAACCAGAGUCCUAGGAAGAACAAGAAGGCGAUCGAGAACGCCAUGGCCGCGCACGGGAGCUCACCCACCCUCCAGUUAGCGGUCAACAUUUAUGUUUUUGCCUAUCAGCGAUUUGUUCAGCAAGAAGCCGCCGCCGAAAAAGUUCAUGGUGUUUGUCGGAAUGGAUACUCAUUUUGCCGUGGAGGGAUCAACAAGAGUUAUGAAUCAAGAUACAAUGAGCGAGGUUUCCCCGGAUGAGUUAGAUAGCCAUGGCGAUUGUUCUGGUGGAUCCAGUGGUGUGGAAGGGACACCAUCAAUUACGUCUAGGCUCUCGUUGUUGAAGUUAGGCUCUGUUAUAGUUGAAUUCUGGAUCGUUUUCCUUCAUCUCCGCAAGUAUGUCCAUUGUUUUCCGGGCAUCUGAAUCAGACUGCUCCUUGUUCAACUUGCAACACAGCGUCUUCAGUGAUCGUUUUGUAAAUGGCACAUUAUCAACUGAUCCAAAAAAUCUACCAACUAUGCU
Long non-coding RNA from Triticum dicoccoides, 592 nucleotides. RefSeq lists it as uncharacterized. NCBI's taxonomy places the organism in Eukaryota, Viridiplantae, Streptophyta, Magnoliopsida, Poales, Poaceae. The transcript is spliced from 2 exons. The record is from RefSeq and is a predicted model, not a curated record.